GAUGAACGCUGGCGGCGUGCCUAAUACAUGCAAGUCGAACGCAUUGUGGUUGAAAUGAUAUGAAGAACUUGUUCAGAUUUGAUUUUCAACAUUGCAAUGAGUGGCGAACGGGUGAGUAACACGUGGGAAACCUACCUCUUAGCAGGGGAUAACAUUUGGAAACAAAUGCUAAUACCGUAUAAUAAUUAAAACCGCAUGGUUUUAGUUUAAAGAUGGUCUUGCUAUCACUAAGAGAUGGUCCCGCGGUGUAUUAGUUAGUUGGUGAGGUAAUGGCUCACCAAGACAAUGAUACAUAGCCGAGUUGAGAGACUGACGGCCACAAUGGGACUGAGACACGG
This 338-nucleotide ribosomal RNA is filed under the name uncultured bacterium. Its description in RNAcentral is "bacterial SSU rRNA". It matches the Rfam family "Bacterial small subunit ribosomal RNA", at positions 28 to 329 of the family's 1533-position model. The record is from RNAcentral.